This 801-nucleotide ribosomal RNA is filed under the name uncultured bacterium. Its description in RNAcentral is "bacterial SSU rRNA". It matches the Rfam family "Bacterial small subunit ribosomal RNA", at positions 8 to 798 of the family's 1533-position model. The record is from RNAcentral.
AGAGUUUGAUCAUGGCUCAGAUUGAACGCUGGCGGCAGGCCUAACACAUGCAAGUCGAGCGGUAACACAGAGGAGCUUGCUCCUUGGGUGACGAGCGGCGGACGGGUGAGUAAUGCCUGGGGAUCUGCCCGAUAGAGGGGGAUAACUACGGGAAACUGUAGCUAAUACCGCAUAACGUCUACGGACCAAAGUGGGGGCUCUUCGGACCUCAUGCUAUCGGAUGAACCCAGGUGGGAUUAGCUAGUUGGUGAGGUAAUGGCUCACCAAGGCGACGAUCUCUAACUGGUUUGAGAGAAUGACCAGUCACACUGGAACUGAGACACGGUCCAGACUCCUACGGGAGGCAGCAGUGGGGAAUAUUGCACAAUGGGCGCAAGCCUGAUGCAGCCAUGCCGCGUGUGUGAAGAAGGCCUUCGGGUUGUAAAGCACUUUCAGCGGGGAGGAAGGGUCACUAGUUAAUACCUAGUGGCAUUGACGUUACUCGCAGAAGAAGCACCGGCUAACUCCGUGCCAGCAGCCGCGGUAAUACGGAGGGUGCAAGCGUUAAUCGGAAUUACUGGGCGUAAAGCGCACGCAGGCGGUUUGUUAAGUCAGAUGUGAAAUCCCCGAGCUCAACUUGGGAACUGCAUUUGAAACUGGCAAGCUAGAGUCUUGUAGAGGGGGGUAGAAUUCCAGGUGUAGCGGUGAAAUGCGUAGAGAUCUGGAGGAAUACCGGUGGCGAAGGCGGCCCCCUGGACAAAGACUGACGCUCAGGUGCGGAAGCGUGGGGAGCAAACAGGAUUAGAUACCCCGGUAGUCCAA